This 430-nucleotide ribosomal RNA is filed under the name Odontotermes assmuthi. RNAcentral's name for it is "partial large subunit ribosomal RNA". It matches the Rfam family "Bacterial large subunit ribosomal RNA", at positions 1919 to 2555 of the family's 2925-position model. Lineage: Eukaryota; Metazoa; Arthropoda; Insecta; Blattodea; Termitidae. The record is from RNAcentral.
UGAGUUGAAGGGCCGCGGUAUUUUGACCGUGCAAAGGUAGCAUAGUCAUUAGUUCUUUAAUUGUGACCUGGUAUGAAUGGCUUGACGAGACAUAGGCUGUCUUGGUAUGAAUUUGUUGUUGAAUUUGGAAUUUAAGUUAAAAUUCUUAAAUGUUUUUAUGGGACGAAAAGACCCUAUAGAGUUUGACAUUUGAUUACGUAUUUCUUAUUGUUUGUUUUAAAUUUUUGCGUGUCUUUUGUUUUGUUGGGGUGAUGGGAGGAAUAUAUUUAACUCCUCUUUUAUGUGGUAUAUUGAUUUGUAUAUGUUUUGAUCCAUUUAUUUUGAUUGUAAGAUUAAAUUACCUUAAGGAUAACAGCGUUAUCUUCCCUGAGAGUUCUUAUUGGCGGGGGGGUUUGCGACCUCCAUGUUGGAUUAAGGUUAAUUUUUGGUG